Molecule: ribosomal RNA, 253 nt
Filed under: uncultured bacterium
Lineage: Bacteria
Description: partial 16S ribosomal RNA
Rfam family: Bacterial small subunit ribosomal RNA
Source: RNAcentral
UACGUAGGGUGCGAGCGUUAAUCGGAAUUACUGGGCGUAAAGGGUGCGCAGGCGGUUUUGUAAGACAGGUGUGAAAUCCCCGGGCUUAACCUGGGAACUGCGCUUGUGACUGCAAGACUUGAGUGCGGCAGAGGGGGGUGGAAUUCCACGUGUAGCAGUGAAAUGCGUAGAGAUGUGGAGGAACACCGAUGGCGAAGGCAGCCCCCUGGGCCGAUACUGACGCUCAUGCACGAAAGCGUGGGGAGCAAACAGG